Molecule: ribosomal RNA, 429 nt
Filed under: Ranitomeya uakarii (Duellman's poison dart frog)
Lineage: Eukaryota; Metazoa; Chordata; Amphibia; Anura; Dendrobatidae
Description: partial 16S ribosomal RNA
Rfam family: Bacterial large subunit ribosomal RNA
Source: RNAcentral
UAGCGUAAUCACUUGUUCUUUAAUUGAGGACUAGUAUGAACGGCCCCACGAGGACUACACUGUCUCCUUUUUCUAAUCAGUGAAACUGAUCCCCUCGUGAAGAAGCGAGGAUAAAUAUAUAAGACGAGAAGACCCUAUGGAGCUUUAAACAACCGGGAUACUUGCUAAUUCUUAAUCUAUUUCCUGAAAACUAAACAAAUUAAAGCAUCUUACCCCCUAGUUUUAGGUUGGGGUGACCACGGAGAAAAAAUCAACCUCCACGCUGCAAGAAGCCUCCCAUCUUCUAAGCUAAGAGUUACAUCUCUAAGCAUCAACACAUUGACUCCCAUUGACCCAAUAAUUUGAUCAACGAACCAAGUUACCCUAGGGAUAACAGCGCAAUCUACUUUGAGAGCUCAUAUCGACAAGUAGGUUUACGACCUCGAUGUU